RNAcentral lists this ribosomal RNA (503 nucleotides) under uncultured bacterium. RNAcentral describes it as "partial 16S ribosomal RNA". It matches the Rfam family "Bacterial small subunit ribosomal RNA", at positions 30 to 523 of the family's 1533-position model. The record is from RNAcentral.
AUUGAACGCUGGCGGCAGGCUUAACACAUGCAAGUCGAGCGGGGUGAUGGUGCUUGCACUAUCACUUAGCGGCGGACGGGUGAGUAAUACUUAGGAAUCUGCCUAUUAGUGGGGGACAACAUCUCGAAAGGGAUGCUAAUACUGCAUACGUCCUACGGGAGAAAGCAGGGGCUCACUUGUGAACUCGCGCUAAUAGAUGAGCCUAAGUCGGAUUAGCUAGUUGGUGGGGUAAAGGCCUACCAAGGCGACGAUCUGUAGCGGGUCCGAGAGGAUGAUCCGCCACACUGGGACUGAGACACGGCCCAGACUCCUACGGGAGGCAGCAGUGGGGAAUAUUGGACAAUGGGGGGAACCCUGAUCCAGCCAUGCCGCGUGUGUGAAGAAGGCCUUAUGGUUGCAAAGCACUUUAAGCGAGGAGGAGGCUCUUUUGGUUAAUACCCAAGAUGAGUGGACGUUACUCGCAGAAUAAGCACCGGCUAACUCUGUGCCAGCCGCCGCCGUAA